UGUGGUUUGCUUUUGAGUAUGUUUGUUGUCUGAGACAUGCGCAAUAUCAAACCUCAAG
RNAcentral lists this microRNA precursor (58 nucleotides) under Melibe leonina. Its description in RNAcentral is "microRNA mle-mir-1988b precursor". The record is from miRBase by way of RNAcentral. Lineage: Eukaryota; Metazoa; Mollusca; Gastropoda; Nudibranchia; Dendronotidae.